AGAAUCAACGCUGGCGGCGUGCCUAACACAUGCAAGUCGCACGAGAAAGGGACUUCGGUCCUGAGUAAAGUGGCGCACGGGUGAGUAACACGUGAAUAAUCUACCUCCGAGUGGGGAAUAACUGAGAGAAAUCUUAGCUAAUACCGCAUAACACUUACGAGUCAAAGCAGCAAUGCGCUUGGAGAGGAGUUCGCGGCAGAUUAGUUAGUUGGCGGGGUAAUGGCCCACCAAGACGAUGAUCUGUAUCCGGCCUGAGAGGGCGCACGGACACACUGGAACUGAAACACGGUCCAGACUCCUACGGAGGCAGCAGUGGGGAAUUUUGCGCAAUGGGGGAAACCCUGACGCAGCAACGCCGCGUGGAGGAUGAAAUCCCUUGGGAUGUAAACUCCUUUCGAUCGGGAAGAUAAUGACGGUACCGAGAGAAGAAGCCCCGGCUAACUUCGUGCCAGCAGCCGC
RNAcentral lists this ribosomal RNA (459 nucleotides) under uncultured bacterium. RNAcentral describes it as "SSU rRNA". It matches the Rfam family "Bacterial small subunit ribosomal RNA", at positions 26 to 518 of the family's 1533-position model. The record is from RNAcentral.